Molecule: long non-coding RNA, 619 nt
Filed under: Androctonus crassicauda
Lineage: Eukaryota; Metazoa; Arthropoda; Arachnida; Scorpiones; Buthidae
Source: RNAcentral
GCACUAGAUAUAGCCGAGCGGUCUAGGGGCGGCGUUGUGGGUUUGUCCGCAUUUGCGAGUGGGGGGCGGAGCGUCCGGGUGGUUGCGUGGUCGAGGGACUUCUCUUCUGGUCCUGUCUGUGGGGUCGGUGUCGGGCACGGUACACUUGGUGGAGUGGGUGUGAUCAGUGAGUGAUCUGUGAUGCUCCGAUUUGGGAGUGGGGACGGCGUUUUUGCUUUUGUCGGCCCUGGUUGCGAUGACUUGCUCCUUAGUUAGCCACGCACGUGUCUGCUCUAUGCACUGUUUCGUUCUGGCCGUCAUUGGCUUGUCUGUGUUGGGCUGGGUUCUGGAUCUCAGGUGUGAACGUGCUGCCAUCCACCUGGCUUUCUGUUUCUCGACGUCCGUGGGGUCGGCGGCGGUGGGGAGAUUUUCGAUUCCGCGGGCGGCGUCUGCUGGGCUGCAUCGGUCGUCUGCGACAGAGUUUGGGCCGAAUCUUGGUGCUUCUUUGAUGAAGACAGGUGCCUCUUGGGAGCAGUAGGAGACUGUUUCUGCUGAGAAGUCGCGCUGCUUGGGUCGGUCCAGCGGUUGAGUUUUCAUUAACCAUUUGAGCUUUUUAACAUAUCUUUUUUUAGUAUCGAAU